GGUCGAAAGCUCCGGUGCCCAAGGAUGGGUCUGCGGCCUAUCAGGUAGUAGUGGGUGUAGCGUACCUACUAGCCUACGACGGCUACGGGUUGUGAGAGCAAGACCCCGGAGAUGGAUUCUGAGACACGAAUCCAGGCCCUACGGGGUGCAGCAGGCGCGAAAACUUUACAAUGCUGGAAACAGCGAUAAGGGAACCUCGAGUGCCAGGUUACAAAUCUGGCUGUCGUGAUGCCUAAAAAGCAUUGCAUAGCAAGGGCCGGGCAAGACCGGUGCCAGCCGCCGCGGUAACACCGGCGGCUCGAGUGGUAACCGUUAUUAUUGGGUCUAAAGGGUCUGUAGCCGGCCGGAUAAGUCUCUUGGGAAAUCCAGCAGCUCAACUGUUGGGCUUUCAGGAGAUACUGUCUGGCUCGAGGCCGGGAGAGGUGAGAGGUACUUCAGGGGUAGGGGUGAAAU
Molecule: ribosomal RNA, 453 nt
Filed under: uncultured euryarchaeote
Lineage: Archaea; Methanobacteriati; Methanobacteriota
Description: bacterial SSU rRNA
Rfam family: Archaeal small subunit ribosomal RNA
Source: RNAcentral